RNAcentral lists this ribosomal RNA (429 nucleotides) under Gemmatimonadota bacterium. Its description in RNAcentral is "Gemmatimonadetes bacterium partial 16S ribosomal RNA". It matches the Rfam family "Bacterial small subunit ribosomal RNA", at positions 355 to 776 of the family's 1533-position model. Lineage: Bacteria; Pseudomonadati; Gemmatimonadota. The record is from RNAcentral.
UAGGGAAUCUUCGGCAAUGGACGAAAGUCUGACCGAGCAACGCCGCGUGAGUGAAGAAGGUUUUCGGAUCGUAAAACUCUGUUGUUAGAGAAGAACAAGGACGUUAGUAACUGAACGUCCCCUGACGGUAUCUAACCAGAAAGCCACGGCUAACUACGUGCCAGCAGCCGCGGUAAUACGUAGGUGGCAAGCGUUGUCCGGAUUUAUUGGGCGUAAAGCGAGCGCAGGCGGUUUCUUAAGUCUGAUGUGAAAGCCCCCGGCUCAACCGGGGAGGGUCAGUGGAAACUGGGAGACUUGAGUGCAGAAGAGGAGAGUGGAAUUCGAUGUGUAGCGGUGAAAUGCGUAGAUAUAUGGAGGAACACCAGUGGCGAAGGCGGCUCUCUGGUCUGUAACUGACGCUGAGGCUCGAAAGCGUGGGGAGCAAACAGG